AGCAACUAAACAAUUCAAUUUGCAAUACUUAAAACACUUCAAUUUACAACAUUUAAACACUUCAAUUUGCAACACUUUAACACUUCAAUUCACAACAUUUAAAUACUUUUAUUUGCAACAAUUUAACACUUCAAUUUACAAUAUUUAAACACUUCAAUUUGCAGCACUUUAACAUCUCUAUUAACAACAUUUAUACACCUCAAUUACAGCAAUAAAACAUCUCAAUUUCCAGCAACUAAACACUUCAAAGUGCAGUACUUAAAUAGGGCUUUAAAAGUACAAAAACGAGCAGCAACAACAUCUACUUUGCUUGAGCAACAGGAAAUUUUUGCACUAAUUGGACAACAACUAAAUCUGAAAUAAAC
Molecule: long non-coding RNA, 365 nt
Filed under: Gossypium raimondii (Peruvian cotton)
Lineage: Eukaryota; Viridiplantae; Streptophyta; Magnoliopsida; Malvales; Malvaceae
Description: long non-coding RNA (GRAI_LNC005595)
Source: RNAcentral